This is an RNA transcript of Vespa velutina, 8740 nucleotides long. It is a transcript of the gene named disintegrin and metalloproteinase domain-containing protein 10-like, with no coding region annotated. The transcript is spliced from 19 exons. The record is from RefSeq and is a predicted model, not a curated record. Lineage: Eukaryota; Metazoa; Arthropoda; Insecta; Hymenoptera; Vespidae.
AGAACUAAGCUCAACUUGCGAGGGAUAGUGGUCAAAGAGCGUUGAGUAGCUGCCAAAGAGAUGACCAAAGGGAAGAGAAAGAGAGAGAGAAAAAGAUAAAGAAGAGAUAAAAAAAGAGAUAGGGUGAAAUAGAAGAGGAAGGCUCGUUAAAGAUAGGAGGGUCGAAUAAGCUCGUCUGAGGGUGGUGGUAUCGGAGUGGGGCGAUGAGUUGAUUUGGUGGGGGAAGACGAAUGAAGGAAGCGCAGUACCGGUGCGUGCGGUGAAGAGACAUCGCACGGAGUGGGGAGAAAGCACACAGCUGGGUCGAAGGCGGCGAAUAGUGGGGGAAGUCGUUGUCCUCGGUAUCUUUACGCGAGUCACGAGAGCGGCUCGUCAGUUCGACGCGGAACGCGUUGCUAUUCGUAUCGUUGUGUUUUUGACGUUUCUUUCUCCCUCUUUAUUUCUUCAUCUCUCUCUCUUUCUCUCUCUCUUUCUCUCUGUCUUUCUCUCACCUCUCAUCGCGCUCUAUCACAUUCUCACCCUCUCUCUACAACACAGUUUAUAUAUCGCUCGGUCUCCUCUCUGUUUCCUUCCAGUUCCCCGGUUUCUUUGUUUCUCUCGUUUUCGCGAGGGAUAGUCACACACGCACUCACUCACUCGGAGGGCCGCUCCUGUGACACGUAAUGGUGCGCGCGAUUCAUAUCGGAGCGAACGCACUGUAACGCGAGGAACGCUCCGCCCUAUGAACGUCGAGAGAGUCCAGUAUCAAGAAGGAAAGGACGCCUGUGGCAACAACUGUGGUUUCGUUUUCCUAAGUUGUUGCCGCCGCCGCUGCUACUGUUGCUGUUGCUGUUGCUGCCGUUGCUGCCGUUGCUGCCGUUGCUGCAUCUUGCGUUGAUAUCGCGGAGCAGUUGAUCUUCGAGAGUACCUAAGCAGAAAGAAGAAGAAGAAGAAGGAGAAAAAGGAGAAGAAGAAGAAGAAGAAGAAGAAGAAGAAGCAACAGAAGAAGCAGAAGAAGAAGAAGGAUAGAACCGGUUGAAAAAGACGUUCUAGGUGGAAGAAAGGAAAAGGAGAAGGAGGAGUAGGAGGAGUGAAGGGGAGAGAAAGAAGAAGGAUCGAAAGGUUGAGCGACCCUGAAAGGGGUAGGAGAAGGUGGACGAAGUGGAGGAGGAGGAAGCGGAGGCGGAAGGAGGAGUAGGAGAAGAAGAGGAGGAGGAGAAGGAGGAGGAGGUGAAGAAGAGGAAGAAGAAGAAGCAGUGGUGAGGCGAGGAGAAGGAGAAAGAGGAGAUGAGCUCGGUGGGUGACUCGACAAGUGCGGUGCUCGGCUGCUCGACGAAAGGCGGCAGAUAGCGCCAUUAGAAGAAAAGACCGACGCGUUGCUGGUACGAGAAACGCGAUGCCGAGCCGUUGCUCCGCGGCCCUGGCCCAAGAGGAGGGGGAGGAAGAGGAAGAGGAGGAGGAGGAAGAGGAAGAGGGAGAGGACGAGGCCCACAGGCCCCGUCGACGUCGUCGACGAAGAAGAAGAUCCUAUUGCUACCACCUCUUCUUCACCGUUCCUCUUGUCUUCUUCCUUUCGUCUCUUUCGAUCGCGGAUGCUUUGCCGUUUCAUCCUGUGCCGACGCACAAAGGGAUAACACGUAGAUCAUACAUCAGAUACUACGAGCCAGCAUCUUAUGACACGGUGGCAUUGAGACGUCAUCGUGACAGGACGCGUCGCGACGUUUCCGAUUCUAUCGAAAAUCAACCUCUACUUUUACGCUUGAAAGCAUUGGAUAGAUCGUGGACAAUACGAUUGAUUCGCGACGACACUAUCUUCAGUAAGGACGUAACGUUCGAAGGCACUCAUGGCUCUAUACCAUUCGACGCUUCACAUUCAUAUACUGGCACCGUCCUUGAGGAUGAAAACGCAGUGGUACAGGGUGUGGUGACAACCGAUGGACUCUUCGAUGGUACGAUCGCGACCAAGUUCGAAGAGUUUUAUAUCGAACCAACUGCAAGAUAUCUGGAUGAGAACGAAGACACGUCUCCAACCUACCAUAGCAUCGCUUAUCGUACAUCCGAUGUAACCGUGCCUCCGCAUCCAUUGCCGUGUGCGAGUCAUCAAUUACACGAAGGCUCUCUUCGAGACAUAUUUGAUAGAGGCAAGACUUACAACGAUAGUUCAGAAGGAUUUUACGAGCCCUUGUUGGAUAAUAAAAUUGGUCUCUAUUCGAGAGAAAGCCAUGGGAGAAUAUUGAAUUUGGAAACGAAGUACGAAGCUCGUUACUAUGACAGAUCUAGUGGAGAUCGAAUAGCCAGACAUUUACAUAAACGUGCGACAGUCGAUCCACGAAAAACAACUUGCAUGCUUUACUUGCAAGCUGAUCAUCAGUUUUUCGCUAGAUACGGCACGGAAGAAGCUUGCAUCGAAGUGAUGACGAGGCAUGUACAGAAGGUCAACUCCAUAUACAAACACACGGAUUUCAAUCAGGAUGGUAGACCGGAUAACAUCAGUUUCAUGAUAAAACGUGUGAAAGUUCAUAGCGAGGACGCUUUGAGGGAUCUCAAUUAUCGAUUUCCGGGUAAUUACGGUGUCGAGAAAUAUCUUGAAUUAUUUUCCGAGGAGGAUUACGAUGCAUUUUGUUUGGCUUACAUGUUCACGUAUCGGGACUUUGAAAUGGGAACGUUAGGUCUAGCUUGGACCGGAGAUUUGAAGAACGCUGGAGGAGUUUGCGAAAAGAACGGGCAUUAUCGUGGUAGCAUGAAGUCCUUGAAUACUGGAAUAGUGACCCUGCUGAACUACGGAAAGCACGUUCCACCCGCGGUAUCUCACGUCACAUUGGCACACGAGAUCGGUCACAACUUUGGUUCGCCGCAUGAUCCGGAACAAUGCACACCGGGCGGUGAAGAUGGAAAUUUCAUAAUGUUCGCCCGUGCAACCAGCGGCGACAAGCGUAACAACAAUCGCUUUAGUCCGUGUAGUUUGAACGCCAUAAAUCCUGUGCUCAACAGUAAGGCUCGUUCACCAAAAGGCUGUUUCACAGAACCACAAGUAUCAUUGUGCGGAAACGGAGUCGUCGAGGACGGCGAGGAAUGCGAUUGUGGAUGGGAAGAAGAUUGUAGAGAUACUUGUUGUUUCCCUCAACGUCGUUAUCCACCAACAGAAGAGACCCCAUGUACACUUACGCCACGUUCAGUGUGCAGUCCUAGUCAAGGUCCAUGCUGUACAGCUGAAUGCAAUCUCAGGUUUGGUGAUAAGUGUAGAGAUGAUAAUGGUUGUCGCGAUGCUAGCUUCUGCGACGGUAGAUCACCCUAUUGUCCACCUUCAAUCAAUAAACCCAAUAAAACUAUUUGCAAUCGUGAAUUAGUUUGCUUCAUGGGCGAAUGCACCGGAAGCAUCUGUCUUGCAUAUGGAUUAGAAUCCUGUCAAUGUAUUCCUGGUCCUAAUGAUCCUCCAACUAAAGCUUGCGAACUCUGUUGUCGUUUACCGGGUGAAAAUCAACCAUGUCUAUCAUCCUUCGAUUGGAAUUCACCACCGUAUGAUAUUCCGGAUAUGUUCUCUAAACCUGGAACACCGUGUAAUGAUUAUAACGGUUACUGCGACGUCUUUCAAAAGUGUAGAGAAGUUGAUCCGAGUGGCCCAUUAGCAACUUUAAGAAAACUUUUAUUGUCCGAUGAAAGCCUCGCGACUGUACGUCGUUGGGUAGCCGAUCAUUGGUACGCAGCGGCUCUUAUCAUUUUAGGAGCUAUAUCUUUAUUGGUUGUCAGUAUGAGGCUCCUAGGCAAGCGACCGGAUCAGAAACUCAAAUCGGUGACAAUAAUCCACAGCUCGACGACGGAAACGGUACGGUUGCCGCCGGAAGGUGCGGAGGGAGUGACGGUUCAUCCGGCAGCCGUUCGUGCAAAGCUUCCACUGAGCAGGAAAGUGAGAGAGAAGAGAAGACACCGGAAGCAUAAGGACACGCAUGCUGCUUCGGUCGAUAAAUCAAACAAGGAUAUUUUAAAGAAAAAGAAACAAAUGUCGAACCGGAGAUCCUCGACAGUACCGGCCGAGGAAGUUGCCCAACGGAAACGACCAACGGAAACGUCAAAUGCAACGACUGCUACCGUUACCACUGCUACUGCAGCAGCAGCGGCGGCAGCGGCAGCAGCAGCAGCAACAGCGGCGGCCGUAAUGCAAGAUAACAAACGUAAGAAGACUUCAAACUCGAGGGAGAAGCAAAAUUUAUGUAACAAUCUACCCGGUAAUUCAGAGUUAGAUAAACGUAAGCGGAAGAAGCAACAUAGAAAGGAAGUCAUUGAUUAUUCUGCAAUACAAGCGGAAAAAGAAGCCGAACCGAAUGCCGAUCCCAAGAACAAAGUACGAUCUUGGUUAUUAGCUUCGUCUCAGUGUAGAUUAGAGAGUACAAGAACGUCCAGUGGUUUACCAAAAAGCAAAUCGACGCCUGUAGGAUUGACGGCCGGUAGUGGUAACGUUACUGGUGCAACAAGAUUAGCUCAAUCAAGGCAAACCGGUGUUCCAAGAAGAACUCUGGACUCGAGAGAGGUCAAAAGUUCGCCAGGUACUUUAGCUAGGAAGGAACGAGCGAGACUUCAAGUUGUCUAUAAGCCGCCCUUCAAGUUUAGCGUGAAAUUACGUAAGGCCGAUAAAGUGGCUCAAGUGCCACCGCCGGCGCCAACUUCGGCGCACAAUAAUCUCACCAGAUCCACGAAAUUGCCGAGAACCGGUGUGUUACUUAAAACUAAGAGAAGAGACAGAGUUAGAAUCGGUAGAGCCAGACAGAUAGCCCCUACUGGAAUAGGAAACGAUAGUGGAGAUUUGCCAGAGCCUGCUAAUUCGGAUCUACAUACGGUACCCUCAGAUUUAGAGGUUCUGCUCUCUGAAAGCGAAUUUCUAUUCUCGGACACGUGACCCCAAAAAUCGAUAAUAAUUUAUCUCUAAAAAUUACUCGCGUCCACCUACCCACUCAUCACUCUCCUCCAUUACUCAGCAAAAGAAAAUUUCUCAUUUUCUUCUUCAAUAUCUUCAUCAAUAGUAUUAAACACCAAGCCAAGAAAAAAUUUCUUCUUUCAUAAAAAGGGGCCAAAUCUACCUUUAAAAAGACUAGAAGAAAUAUAUAUCGAUGGAGUUGAAUGAUUAAGAAAAGAGAAAAUAAAGAAGAAGAAGAAAGGAAAAAGUUAUAAACAAAAACAAAGAAGCGAAAAAGAAGAGGAAAAGUUGUAAAACUAUGCCAGAGUGUUCGUUUAUUUGCAGUUUGUAUUUCAGGAAAAGAAAGAGAGAGAGAGAGAGAGAGCGAGAGAAAGAAGAGAGAGAGAGAGAGAGAGAGAGAGAGAGAGAGAGAGAGAGAGAGAGAGCAUAUGUAAAUCUCUCCAUUAUAUAAUAUUCGUUUAUAUACGAAAUGAAGCGUUGCCUAUAAAGACAAAAGAUAAACCCUUCCUCUUAAAAAAAAAAAAAAAAAAAAAAAAAUGAAAAGAAAAAAGAAAUGAAAAUGAGGUGUAAUUUGCUACGUAUUCUUUUUUAUAUCGUCGAUAACGUAAGCAUUUUUCGAUACUACCGAUAAACUAUCGCGAUUGUCAUGAUUAAAAGAACAAAAAAAUAGGGGAAUUAUUAUAAUAAUGAUAAUAAUAAUAAUAAUUCUUUUUUUUUUCUUUAUUUCUUUUUUGCUCGUAAUUUCUUUUCCUUUUUUUUUUUUUUUUUUUUUUUUUUUUUUUUUUUUUUUUUUUUUUUGUAACAGCGACUGUGACUGUCCAAGACUGUUUCCUAUUCGAAAGCAUUUUCUAUCGAUUUUUUAUCGAACUAUCCUCAAACUGCCUAAGUAGUUGUUUCGAUGGAGUUUUCCUAAUGGUUCCUAUUAAUCAGCGAAAUAUCUGAUAACUUCGAACAAUAGCUUUGCGCCGAUGAUGAUGAUGAUAAUGAUGAUUUGCUCGUUCUCGUUCCAAUUGUCAGAUUGUCUCAAAAUUCGAGAUAAACCUUUUUUAUGUUUGCUCGGUCUAAGUUUCGUAUCGAACUUUUUUUCUUUUUUUCUUUUUUCUUAUUUUUUUUUUUUUAUAUACCGAGUAAGUGAAAGGUAUAUAGGAAAUUUGGGACGAUCAUUGCUUUUACAUAUCGAGAUAUACAUAUUAUUCUAUAAACUAUAUCUACGUUUAGCAAACUUGUUUUAUUCAGUCCAGUGACUUCCAUUUUUAUAAAAACACACAAGAUAUAUAUAUAUAUAUAUAUAUAUAUAUAUAUAUCAGAUGUAUUGAAGUUAAAACUUAUUAGCUAGAAAAAAAUUUACAAUCAAAUAUGAUAUAAUUCGUUCUCACCGACAUAUUACCGUAUUUUAUUAGGGUGCUAAUAAUAAUUAUUAAAAGUAAAAAAAAAAAAAAAAUAAUUUUGCUUUAAUUAUAUUACUUAUAUGUAUUUCGUGUGCUUUCAAAUAUUUCAUCGGAGGAGGAUGAUUUACGAGAAACUUAAUUUAUAUUGAGGAAGAACGAAUAUCGAAUGUUUGUUAAUACUUAAGUUUACUGACGUUUUAACUGUAAUUCAUUUCAUUCAACUAAUUUUUUUUUGAUUUCGUUAUUCGAGAAAAGCACAUAAAUUGUGCCGCAAUUUGUGCGCGAUCGUUACUUUAUACAUAUGUAGGGGAAGAAAAAAAGAAGACAUACAUACUUACAUACACACACACACACACACACACACAUGCACACACGCACGCACGUACGUACGUGCAUACGGGUUUAUAAGAGAAUGUCUCGUUUAAAGUGAUCGAGAGGAUAUAUAGAAUAGAUCUAAUGUUCCUUUGAUGAUAUUAAAAAUCAAUUGCUCUUUUUCGAGAGACUUUAAAGAACAAAUUCUUUUUUUUUUUUUUUUUUUUUUUUUUUGUCAAAUUGUAAAACUGCAAGUACAGCUUGUUGAACUAUCAAUCUAACUACAAUCCUAAUCUUGAAAGGGAAUAAUUGAUUUUUAGUGUCACAUAAGAACUUUUGGAUCAUUCUGUAUAAUGCUUAUAUAUCCUAUUGUAAUCGCUAAAGUAAAAAUAAGAAAGUGAGAGAGAAUGAGAGAGAGAGAGAGAGAGAGAGAGAGAGAGAGAGAAAGAGAGAAAGAGAGAUUGCUCGUUAAGUGUGACACAGAUGCGGGCUACUUUGUACAUACAUAUAUACGUACAUACAUGCAUACAUACAUAAAGCGUGAAAAAAAAUGUGAUUUUACUUUUACAUGACCAGUGCUGCACAUACACAUACACACAAAUGCACGAACAUACACACAUACACUAAUUACACAGGAGCACUCAUUUAAUCCGCGAGGAUAUGUGAUUUUACUUUUAAGACCAAUCCGUGCUAAGUCGUUUUUUACAGUUAGGAAUUUCUCCGAUAGGAGGGCCAGUAACGCAAAAAAAAUAAAAAUGAAGAAGAGAAGAUGAAAAAAAAAAACGUAUCAUACUCCCGUUCACUUUUAAGGAUCCGCUUGUUGUGCCUAACUUGCGCGUCGAUCAAAAAAAGUGACCAUUAAUAAAUAAUAAAUAAUAAUAAAUAAUAAUAAUAAUAAUAAUAAUAAUAAUAAUAAUAAUAAUAAUAAUAAUAAUAAUAAUAAUAAUAGGAAUAAGAAUAUACUAAGAAAUCGUCUUAAAGACGUUCUUGUAAAAGAAAAUAAAAAGAGGAAUGAAAGAGAGCGGCGGUAAGAGUUGGGGCAAAAUAGAAAAGAGAGGAUUAGUAAGAAGAAUCAAAUUUUCUUACAGAAUGAGAAAAAUUGAAAAGAAAAAUAAAAAAAAAAAAAAGAAAUAAAUAAAAAACAGGGAAGUCAAAGUUGUGAUGGAUCGUUUCGUGAUAUUUCACGUGAAAGAUAAAUACGAACGUGACCCCGUAUAAAUUCGCUUUAUUCGUUGAAUUUUGCGUGUGUUGUUAGAGAUACGCCGAUAGGGGGCCGAGCGUAUUAUUAUUGUAAUAAUCGGUGAAUUUAGUAGAAAUAAUUAGGCCCAGAGACUUUAUAAAUGUGUUGAAAUUUCACGUAGUAACACAGUCGUCGUAGAUUUACUAUCUCGUGGCAUAUCGUUAUUAGUGGAGGACGCCUCUGUAAACGAAAAAAAAAAAAAAAAAAAAAAAGAAAGAAAGAAAGAAAGAAAAAAAAAGAUAUAAAUUUUUGAUUAUAAAACGACGAAGAAAUUUCUUUAUUAAUUUUUUUUUUGUUUCGUCUUCUCGAUCUAAUUCGUCGUAAUUAAAAACACUUUCGUAUACAGUGUAUUAUAUUAAUCGAGAAAUUGAUUGAUUUUUUUUCUCUAAUUGUGGCACUAAAAGAAAAGAAAGAAAGAAAGAAAGAAAUGAAAUUAAUCGAUGAAAAAUCACACUUUCGUAAUUUUUAGGAAUCAAUCAUUCGAAACGUUCGAGCGGUCUUCCUCGUGUCGUUUUUCUCUUUUUUUUACUUUUCUCUUCGAUUCUCUUAUUUUUGUAUCCCUUUUUUUUUUGUUUUUUUGAUAAUAGAAUCGUUAUAACUCGUAUAACUAAGAAAAAAAAAAUAAAAAUAAAAUAAUAUUAUAAUUUUCUUCGAUUAAAUACAAUUUCGUUGAAGAACGAACGACGAUGACGACGACAACGACGACGAUGACGAUGACGAUGACAAAGACGAUAAAGAGUAAACGAGGCAAGACCGCUUUCGUUUAUAAUCUAUCGAAUACUAUUAAUCUAUAUAAGAUUGGGCUGCUGUAUUUUUACACGGACUUUGUACAAAUAACAAAAGCCGUAAAGGUGACGCCUUUCCGUGCGACGUGUAUAUAUAUACCUAUGUACUAAUAAAUAAUGGGCGAAA